ACCCGCUGAACUUAAGCAUAUCAAUAAGCGGAGGAAAAGAAACCAACAGGGAUUGCCCUAGUAACGGCGAGUGAAGCGGCAACAGCUCAAAUUUGAAAUCUGGCUCUUUCAGAGUCCGAGUUGUAAUUUGCAGAGGGCGCUUUGGCGUUGGCAGCGGUCCAAGUUCUUUGGAACAGGACGUCACAGAGGGUGAGAAUCCCGUACGUGGUCGCUAUCCUUCGCCGUGUAAAGCCCCUUCGACGAGUCGAGUUGUUUGGGAAUGCAGCUCUAAAUGGGAGGUAAAUUUCUUCUAAAGCUAAAUACUGGCCAGAGACCGAUAGCGCACAAGUAGAGUGAUCGAAAGAUGAAAAGCACUUUGGAAAGAGAGUCAAAAAGCACGUGAAAUUGUUGAAAGGGAAGCGCUUGCAGCCAGACUUGCCUGUAGUUGCUCAUCCGGGCUCUUGCCCGGUGCACUCUUCUGCGGGCAGGCCAGCAUCGGUCCGGGCGGUUGGAUAAAUGCCUGCUAAAUGUACCUCUCCUCGGGGAGGACUUAUAGGGCAGGCGGCAUACAACCAGCCUGGACUGAGGUCCGCGCAUCUGCUAGGAUGCUGGCGUAAUGGCUGU
RNAcentral lists this ribosomal RNA (603 nucleotides) under uncultured fungus. RNAcentral's name for it is "eukaryotic LSU rRNA". It matches the Rfam family "Eukaryotic large subunit ribosomal RNA", at positions 23 to 641 of the family's 3401-position model. Lineage: Eukaryota; Fungi. The record is from RNAcentral.